UACAUAGGGGGCAAGCGUUGUUCGGAAUUACUGGGCGUAAAGGGCGCGUAGGCGGCCCGCUAAGUCGAACGUGAAAUCCCCGAGCUCAACUCGGGAACUGCGUCCGAUACUGGCGGGCUUGAAUCCGGGAGAGGGAUGCGGAAUUCCAGGUGUAGCGGUGAAAUGCGUAGAUAUCUGGAGGAACACCGGUGGCGAAGGCGGCAUCCUGGACCGGCAUUGACGCUGAGGCGCGAAAGCUAGGGGAGCAAACGGG
RNAcentral lists this ribosomal RNA (253 nucleotides) under uncultured bacterium. RNAcentral describes it as "partial 16S ribosomal RNA". It matches the Rfam family "Bacterial small subunit ribosomal RNA", at positions 524 to 776 of the family's 1533-position model. The record is from RNAcentral.